RNAcentral lists this ribosomal RNA (503 nucleotides) under uncultured bacterium. RNAcentral describes it as "partial 16S ribosomal RNA". It matches the Rfam family "Bacterial small subunit ribosomal RNA", at positions 30 to 523 of the family's 1533-position model. The record is from RNAcentral.
AUUGAACGCUGGCGGCAGGCUUAACACAUGCAAGUCGAGCGGGGUGAUGGUGCUUGCACUAUCACUUAGCGGCGGACGGGUGAGUAAUGCUUAGGAAUCUGCCUAUUAGUGGGGUACAACAUCUCGAAAGGGAUGCAAAUACCGCAUACGUCCUACGGGAGAAAGAAGGGGAUCACUUGUGACCUUGCGCUAAUAGAUGAGACUAAGUCGGAUUAGCUAGUUUGUGGGGUAAAGGCCUACCAAGGCGACGAUCUGUAGCGGGUCUGAGAGGAGGAUCCGCCACACUGGGACUGAGACACGGCCCAGACUCAGACGGGAGGCAGCAGGGGGGAAUAUUGGACAAUGGGGGGAAGCCUGAUCCAGCCAUGCCGCGUGUGUGAAGAAGGCCUUAUGGUUGUAAAGCACUUUAAGCGAGGAGGAGGCUCUUUUGGUUAAUACCCAAGAUGACUGGACGUUACUCGCAGAAUAAGCACCGGCUAACUCUGUGCCAGCAGCCGCCGUAA